AACGAACGCUGGCGGCAUGCCUAACACAUGCAAGUCGAACGAGACCUUCGGGUCUAGUGGCGCACGGGUGCGUAACGCGUGGGAACCUGCCCUUAGGUUCGGAAUAACUCCCCGAAAGGGGUGCUAAUACCGGAUAAUGUCUUCGGACCAAAGAUUUAUGGCCUUUGGAUGGGCCCGCGUUGGAUUCGCUAGUUGGUAGGGUAAAAGCCUACCAAGGCGACGAUCCAUAGCUGGUCUGAGAGGAUGAUCAGCCACACUGGGACUGAGACACGGCCCAGACUCCUACGGGAGGCAGCAGUGGGGAAUAUUGGACAAUGGGCGAAAGCCUGAUCCAGCAAUGCCGCGUGAGUGAUGAAGGCCUUAGGGUUGUAAAGCUCUUUUACCCGGGAUGAUAAUGACAGUACCGGGAGAAUAAGCUCCGGCUAACUCCGUG
RNAcentral lists this ribosomal RNA (433 nucleotides) under uncultured bacterium. RNAcentral describes it as "partial 16S ribosomal RNA". It matches the Rfam family "Bacterial small subunit ribosomal RNA", at positions 29 to 507 of the family's 1533-position model. The record is from RNAcentral.